Long non-coding RNA from Equus caballus (horse), 1846 nucleotides. RefSeq lists it as uncharacterized. The record is from RefSeq and is a predicted model, not a curated record. Lineage: Eukaryota; Metazoa; Chordata; Mammalia; Perissodactyla; Equidae.
GUCUGCCGGCUCAGUAGCAGCUGCCCAGGCAGUUCCAGGGGCGGGUGGAGAACGAUCAGGAUUUCUGCCGCAAACGGCGCGAUGUCUUGCUGGGUUAAUAUCCCAGCAGGUGGACUGAUGGGACCACGUGUAUCCAGGAGAACUGGGGGGAGCGUCCAGGUGCAAACUGCCGAUGGGGCAACAGCUGAUGUCUCAUUCCCUGGGGCAUCCUCUCUCCUUCCGAGUGUUAAAGUGGAGACAUUUACAAUACCUGCCUCAUGGGAUCCUUGUGCAGAUAAAUGAACUGAUUCAUGUUGAUGAGAAAAAAUUAUUCUGACACUGGUUAAAACGGUAAGGAAGAGUUUAUUCAAGAAUAUUGCAAUUGGGAUAUUGCAAGAGGGGAGAGAGGUCAAGUUCAGCUCCAAGAAGACAGCAAGAACAAGUGGGGAUUUCUAGCCAAGCAGCAGAGUAAGGGGUCAGUGGAUGGAAAAUUACUAAGAGGAGGCAAGAAGAGGGGAAUUCUUGCUUAACUGACCCAACAGGAUUCUUGCUAAAGGCAGGCCAGGGACUUAGACAUCAAAGGUGGGGGGUGAGAAACUUGAUCAGAGAUCAAAGGUGGGGGAUUCUCACUAAGCCGACUUAGCAAGAUUCUUGCUAAAACUGGGCAGUGCAGACCUACCAAGGACAGGAGGGACAUAGAAGGCCAAGGUCGAGGCCUAGUCAAGAAGAGGGCUCAGAGGAGCCUACUAAGGUUUGGUCAAGGAUACAGUCUUUGUCAAGGUAAAGUGCCCAGAACAGUGCCUGGCAGUCAGUAAAUGGGGACUACACAUAAGAUAUUGUUAUCAUCAGCACACAAGAGGCGAGCUGCUUGGAGCCUGCAUGAGUCAACAUACCAGAAGCUUUAGAACAAAUGUAGCUGAAAAGCAAGCAGAAAACCUAUAGGACACACCUGUCUCCAGAAGGAAGAAGACUGGAGAAGAAAAAGAUUCUAUCAACACACUGUCUGCCCCUCGGCUGUGAAUGGAAGGAAUUCAGGAACAAAAGGAGGGGAGAAACCGCGUGGAAACAUGCCAAACUGGGUGUGUCCUGAGACCAUAUCAACGUGCUCUUCGUCUCACCCAUGCUCUCUCCAGGAACAAGAAAGGAUUCUUCUGGAUGGGCGAGGAGGGGACUUUGGAAGGCCCGCCCGCCAGUUUAAUGGCCCGUUUGGAAACACAGCCCUCCAGACCAGGGGCCAGAGCAGCACAGCAUCUGCCGUUGUCAUUGAGGGUUGGUCCGCGUUAGAGACGUGCCAAAAGGCCACAUCUAGUUUGACUUUUCAGGAUUUAGAGCACAGAGGACUAGCUGAAGACCAGAGCGACAGGAGUCUGAGUCCUGGCUUUGUCCACUUACUGGUUGAGCUUGGGCAAGUCGCUUUGCCUCUCUGUGCCUCAGUUUCCUCAUCUGUAAAAUGUGGAUAAUGAGAUCUUCCUCAAAGGGUUGAUCGGAUUGUGAAUACACGAAAACCAUUUAGAAUGGUGCCUGGUGUACAGUAAGCACUAAAUCAGGGUUGACUACUAUUUUUAUUAUUAAUUAUGAGUUAACUAUUGUUAUCAGCAGAGUACCUAGAAAAGAGUAAUUCCUCAAUAAGUGGUGGAUAUUAUAACAUUAUUAUAUUCUUAUUUAUCAAUCUCCUUCUAAGAAAUAUUCCCCAUCCACCCCAGAUCCUAGAGGUGUUUAAUCCAAGCCUUAGGUGUGUAAGAAAACCGUGCUCACCUUGUAAGGAGAAAAUGCACAACACCUUCUGGGAUUAGAGUGACAUUUAUUGAGUCCUUAUUUUGUGGCGGACAGCGUGAAAAGUGCUUCAUAAUAAAUGCUCACAAAAACC